AUGGACACGAGAGCUACGAACCACCUCACCAACGACAUGGGCAAGCUCUCCACUCAGGAGCCAUAUCGUGGCCAUGAUCAGGUGCACACCGCCAAUGGAGCAGGUAUGCACAUCUCUCAUGUUGGUCAGGCAUCACUUCUUGCACACAAUUCACGUAAACUGCAUCUUUCUAAUGUUCUUCAUAUUCCCACUGCUUCGCGUAGUUUGUUAUCUGUUCCACAACUUACUCGUGAUAAUAAUGUUCUUGCUGAGUUUUACCCAUUUCAUUUCUUUAUCAAGGAUCAGGACACGAGGGCCGUUCUGCUUAGCGGUCGUCUUCGUGGUGGCUUGUACGCACUUGAUGCGCCAACCGCACCUCCUAUGCAGUUUUCUCCUCAGGCGUUCAGCGGUGUUCGUGUGUCAUCUACACAUUGGCAUGCGCGCCUUGGUCAUCCUGCUGCUCCUAUAGUUCGUCAUGUGUUGCAUCGCCAUAAACUACCAGUUGUGUCAAAUAAAACUGCUGAAACUAUUUUUGAUGCCUAUCAGCAGGGCAAGCAUCAUCAACUUCCGUUUUCAGAGUAUAGUCGUGUUGUGAAACAUCCUCUUGAGCUUGUGUUUUCUGAUGUGUGGGGUCAUGCCCAAACAUCUGUCAGUGGCUGA
Molecule: ribosomal RNA, 639 nt
Filed under: Triticum aestivum (bread wheat)
Lineage: Eukaryota; Viridiplantae; Streptophyta; Magnoliopsida; Poales; Poaceae
Description: partial small subunit ribosomal RNA
Source: RNAcentral